Molecule: ribosomal RNA, 531 nt
Filed under: uncultured bacterium
Lineage: Bacteria
Description: bacterial SSU rRNA
Rfam family: Bacterial small subunit ribosomal RNA
Source: RNAcentral
UGGGGAAUAUUGCACAAUGUGGCGGAAGCCUGAUGCAGCGACGCCGCGUGGGGGAUGAAGGCCUUCGGGUUGUAAACUCCUUUCGACAGGGACGAAGCUUUUGUGACGGUACCUGUAUAAGAAGCACCGGCUAACUACGUGCCAGCAGCCGCGGUAAUACGUAGGGUGCGAGCGUUGUCCGGAAUUACUGGGCGUAAAGAGCUCGUAGGUGGUUUGUCGCGUCGUCUGUGAAAUUCCGGGGCUUAACUCCGGGCGUGCAGGCGAUACGGGCUGACUUGAGUGCUGUAGGGGAGACUGGAAUUCCUGGUGUAGCGGUGAAAUGCGCAGAUAUCAGGAGGAACACCGAUGGCGAAGGCAGGUCUCUGGGCAGUAACUGACGCUGAGGAGCGAAAGCAUGGGUAGCGAACAGGAUUAGAUACCCUGGUAGUCCAUGCCGUAAACGGUGGGCGCUAGGUGUAGGGGGCUUCCACGUCUUCUGUGCCGUAGCUAACGCAUUAAGCGCCCCGCCUGGGGAGUACGGCCGCAAGGCUA